Molecule: ribosomal RNA, 878 nt
Filed under: human gut metagenome
Description: bacterial SSU rRNA
Rfam family: Bacterial small subunit ribosomal RNA
Source: RNAcentral
AGAGUUUGAUCCUGGCUCAGGAUGAACGCUGGCGGCGUGCUUAACACAUGCAAGUCGAACGAUUAACCCGCCCUCGGGCGGUUAUAGAGUGGCGAACGGGUGAGUAACACGUGACCAACCUGCCCCUUGCUCCGGGACAACCCAGGGAAACCUCGGCUAAUACCGGAUACUCCGCGCAGCCCGCAUGGGAGGCGCGGGAAAGCCCAGACGGCAAGGGAUGGGGUCGCGGCCCAUUAGGUAGACGGCGGGGUAACGGCCCACCGUGCCCGCGAUGGGUAGCCGGGUUGAGAGACCGAUCGGCCACAUUGGGACUGAGAUACGGCCCAGACUCCUACGGGAGGCAGCAGUGGGGAAUUUUGCGCAAUGGGGGAAACCCUGACGCAGCAACGCCGCGUGCGGGACGAAGGCCUUCGGGUUGUAAACCGCUUUCAGCAGGGAAUAUAGUGAAGGUACCUGCAGAAGAAGCUCCGGCUAACUACGUGCCAGCAGCCGCGGUAAUACGUAGGGAGCGAGCGUUAUCCGGAUUCAUUGGGCGUAAAGCGCGCGUAGGCGGCCCGUCAAGCGGGGUUUCAAAUCCAGGGGCUCAACCUCUGGCCGGACCCCGAACUGGCGGGCUCGAGUGCGGUAGAGGAAGGUGGAAUUCCCAGUGUAGCGGUGAAAUGCGCAGAUAUUGGGAAGAACACCGAUGGCGAAGGCAGCCUUCUGGGCCGCCACUGACGCUGAGGCGCGAAAGCUAGGGGAGCGAACAGGAUUAGAUACCCUGGUAGUCCUAGCCGUAAACGAUGGGCACUAGGUGUGGGGGAGCAUCUCCUCCGUGCCGCAGCCAACGCAUUAAGUGCCCCGCCUGGGGAGUACGGCCGCAAGGCUAAAACUCAAAG